CCAGACUCCUACGGGAGGCAGCAGUGGGGAAUAUUGCACAAUGGGGGAAACCCUGAUGCAGCGACGCCGCGUGAGUGAAGAAGUAUUUCGGUAUGUAAAGCUCUAUCAGCAGGGAAGAAAUAGCGACCUUUGGGUCGCCAGACGGUACCUGAUUAAGAAGCCCCGGCUAACUACGUGCCAGCAGCCGCGGUAAUACGUAGGGGGCAAGCGUUAUCCGGAAUUACUGGGUGUAAAGGGAGCGUAGACGGUGAUGCAAGUCUGGAGUGAAAGGCGGGGGCCCAACCCCCGGACUGCUCUGGAAACUGUGUAACUUGAGUGCAGGAGAGGUAAGCGGAAUUCCUAGUGUAGCGGUGAAAUGCGUAGAUAUUCGGAGGAACACCGGUGGCGAAGGCGGCCAACUGGGCUUUAACUGACGCUGAGGCUCGAAAGUGUGGGGAGCAAACAGGAUUAGAUACCCGAGUAA
This 463-nucleotide ribosomal RNA is filed under the name uncultured bacterium. RNAcentral describes it as "partial 16S ribosomal RNA". It matches the Rfam family "Bacterial small subunit ribosomal RNA", at positions 331 to 793 of the family's 1533-position model. The record is from RNAcentral.